GGACUCCAUGGGCUAGAAAAAAACCAUUUUUUUAAAAAGACAAAGAAAAGAUGAGUAAAUUCAAUCCAAUUUGGCUGAUCCUCUGCAUCUCCUACAGUAGUUUAAGCUGUUAUCAUGAAACAGAUGGUAGCAGAAGGGCAGUCUGACAAAAUAGCAUCUGACAGUGAAGUGAGUAUGCAGCAAAGGUGUGUUACUGAAGUCCUCCAUGUAGAAUAAACAGCACCCACUGACUUUCUCUAUUGCUUGCUGAAUGUUUGUGUAGACCAAACAAUGGAUGUGAGCACACUGAAACAGUGAGUGGUGUAUUUCAUAAGUGGCAACAGUGACAUGAAUAACAAGCCAUGUUUUAGAUGGCCAUUCAGGCCAUCCCCAGUUCAUUACUGGGGAAAAUGCAUAGCUAAUGGUGGUGCCUAUGUUGAAAAAGAGUGCUUUGUAGCUGAGAAUUUGCUCUAUCAGAUAGCAUUAUUAUUCUCUUUGUAUCUGUUGCAGCUUCCAUGGAAAUAAAUAGAAGACAUUACUUUCAGAGCAACCUACAUACAUGAACAACUGUAGAAAAUAUUUCAAACACAUGUUUUACUUACUAUUCUCAGCCCUAAGGGAUACCUGAACUCAGACAGUGAAGCUGACCCGUGAAUAUGAUCCACAAGACUAAAGACGUACUUAUCCUUCCUACGAGUACAGUAUUGUACAGAAUGCAGACAAAUGUGGAUCUGAGAAAAGCUGAUGCAGUGAUGUCAAGGCAGGAGGAUGAAAAAAAAAAGAAUAAAAUCACUGAAUUCUACUUACCUGCCUUUGCCACUGAGUUCAUAAGCCCUCACUGAUCCCUUGACAGCACAGCUUCAACACUGCUAUGAAAAGUGCAGGAGGAAAACAAACCCAGGCACUGAAAACACACGAACUGCUCAGGGGGCACAGGCAAAACAAGGAACUGAGUCUUUUGUAAGCAAGAAAGAGACAUAUUGGUCAGGGAAGGGAAUGGCUUUCAUUUUUUUUCAUUUCAGUUGCUGUCUGCAGUUCUGUUUAAUCUAUGGUUAAUGUAAAACCUUCUGAUAAUAUUUCCAAACUUAGGUGCUUAGAUGAAGGGUCUCACAUCCAUUUCAUCACUAGAAUAAAGAAGGCCUGGUUUUCA
This 1129-nucleotide long non-coding RNA is filed under the name Coturnix japonica (Japanese quail). RNAcentral describes it as "lncRNA (ENSCJPG00005017658.1)". The record is from RNAcentral. Lineage: Eukaryota; Metazoa; Chordata; Aves; Galliformes; Phasianidae.